CUAUGCGCCUUGCCAGCCCGCUCAGUCAGAGUUUGAUCCUGGCUCAGGACGAACGCUGGCGGCGUGCCUAAUACAUGCAAGUCGAACGAACGGAUAAAGAGCUUGCUCUUUUGAAGUUAGUGGCGGACGGGUGAGUAACACGUGGGUAACCUGCCUCACAGCUGGGGAUAACAUCGAGAAAUCGAUGCUAAUACCGAAUGUGCUGAACAUCAUAAGAUGUUCAAGUGAAAGACGGUUUCGGCUGUCACUGUGAGAUGGACCCGCGCUGGAUUAGCUAGUUGGUAAGGUAAUGGCUUACCAAGGCGACGAUCCAUAGCCGACCUGAGAGGGUGAUCGGCCACAUUGGGACUGAGACACGGCCCAA
Molecule: ribosomal RNA, 364 nt
Filed under: uncultured bacterium
Lineage: Bacteria
Description: bacterial SSU rRNA
Rfam family: Bacterial small subunit ribosomal RNA
Source: RNAcentral